GUAGCAAUGAAAAUAAUUUUAUGGUUGGGGGGUCACCACAACUUGAGCUGUAUUAAAGGGUGGCUGCACUAGGAAGGUUGAGAGCCACUGGUUUAGAUAAUGAUCUUCUGUGAAAAGAAAAGGCUUAUUUUGGUUCAUGGUUUGGAGGGUCUAGCCCAUGACUGGAUGGUCCAUUGCUUUGGGCCUAUUGCAAGGCUGGAUGCUAUGUUGGAAUUGUAUGACAGAGCAAAACCACUCACCUCAUGGCCAGGAAUGAAAGAGAAGAGAAAGAAACCAGAGCCCCAGAGUCUUCUUCAAGAGUAUACCUCCACUGACCUAACAACCUGAGUCACGAAGUCCUCACAGGCUGUGCUGGAAUAUCACCGUGUUUGGCAAUAACUUUCCCUGUUCCAGGGUGUGUGUGCACUUCUCUAUUCUGCUUCAAGAAUGUGUAUUCUCCAGAGACCUACAGCCAAACAUCAGGAGGAGCUCCAGGAACCCAAAGGAAGAGGGCGGGGAAGGAUUGUAAGAGCCAGAGGGGUCAAGGAGAACACAGCCCACACAGUAGGCCCCUAGAGGCUCAGAGAGACUGAAGUGGCAAUCCUGGAGCCUGCAUGGCGCUUGGUCAAUCCCACUGCUUUAUCUGUCCCUGGUCAGAAGAAACAAGCUCAUUUGGCCACGAUCCAAGAGUAAUACAUGUAGAUCAUCACUCUGAGGCUGCUAUAUGAAACCCAUUGUUUUGUCAUCCAGGACUGCUGUGGUGGACUGUCUGUACUAGAAAUUCAGACUUCCGUCUUUCUGCUAUACCACCCUGGCAUGUGGUUUGCACGAUCUGGGCUGCAUUAUGAGUCUGUGUGUUCCUGUAGCUCUGGUCAUUGUGUUCAUCUUCCAGACAGCAGGAGAAUGUGGAAAAACACUGAAGCAUACAUAAAAGAAAGAAGGUGUCAAUUACAUAAAGUAAUUCCAUCCUGGACCAGGCUUGGAAGAAAUUUAUUUUGCAAAGGCAGCUGAUUUUAAAAAUCGAGGGAUGAUAUGGGCCAAAACAAAAGAAACAAUGACUGAAAGCCAAAGCAGACAUCUGGAAAGAAAGAGUAUGGCCUGGUGGGAUGGAGUCCAGGGGGGAAGAAUGGACAAUGAAGGACCAUGAUGAACUAUGACUAAAUGUUUGCAGCCCCAGGAGAAGAGACUUGGUGCUUAUGAAAGUGGGUGAAAGCCAACAGAAGUCUGAAUAACGACCUUUUGAUCUCUCUAUGUAUUAUUAGGGAGUUGUAACUGAAAGAUUAUUUUAUUUAUUUUAAAAGUUUUAUUUUUUCAGCUUU
This is a long non-coding RNA of Peromyscus eremicus (cactus mouse), 1298 nucleotides long. RefSeq lists it as uncharacterized. The transcript is spliced from 5 exons. Lineage: Eukaryota; Metazoa; Chordata; Mammalia; Rodentia; Cricetidae. The record is from RefSeq and is a predicted model, not a curated record.